AUUGCGCAUGCGCGCUUCCUUGCGCGAGCCGGGCUGUCGGGUGUGUUUUGCUCUCCAGCUUCCGUCGUCUCUGCAGCACUCCGGGUUCUCCUCCAGAGCGCUAGUCCCAGGAGCUCGGAAUGUUCGUGGAACUUAAUAACCUGCUUAACACCACCCCCGACAGGGCGGAGCAGGGGAAACUGACUCUACUCUGUGAUGCCAAGACAGAUGGGAGUUUCCUUGUACACCACUUUCUCUCCUUCUAUCUCAAAGCUAAUUGUAAAGUCUGCUUUGUGGCACUCAUCCAGUCCUUCAGCCACUACAGUAUCGUGGGACAGAAGCUGGGUGUCAGCCUGACCAUGGCACGGGAGCGUGGGCAGCUUGUGUUCCUUGAGGGACUCAAGUCUGCAGUGGACGUCGUCUUCCAGGCUCAAAAGGAGCCACACCCCCUGCAGUUUCUCAGGUCAGUCAGCCUGCAGCCCAGCCCGGAAGCAACACGUGGCAGGUGGGCCCAGGCAGGGUUCCUGGUUGCUGUGUGAUUCCUUCUUAUUGUGCAGGAGGAUGGAACUGGCUUCAGGAGUCAGACACUUCAUCUGGUG
This 578-nucleotide small RNA is filed under the name Pan troglodytes (chimpanzee). RNAcentral describes it as "retained intron". Lineage: Eukaryota; Metazoa; Chordata; Mammalia; Primates; Hominidae. The record is from RNAcentral.